UACGAAGGGGGCUAGCGUUGCUCGGAAUCACUGGGCGUAAAGCGCACGUAGGCGGCUUCUUAAGUCAGGGGUGAAAUCCUGGAGCUCAACUCCAGAACUGCCUUUGAUACUGGGAAGCUUGGAGUCCGGGAGAGGUGAGUGGAACUGCGAGUGUAGAGGUGAAAUUCGUAGAUAUUCGCAAGAACACCAGUGGCGAAGGCGGCUCACUGGCCCGGUACUGACGCUGAGGUGCGAAAGCAUGGGGAGCAAACAGG
This 254-nucleotide ribosomal RNA is filed under the name uncultured bacterium. RNAcentral's name for it is "partial 16S ribosomal RNA". It matches the Rfam family "Bacterial small subunit ribosomal RNA", at positions 524 to 776 of the family's 1533-position model. The record is from RNAcentral.